Molecule: long non-coding RNA, 1117 nt
Organism: Ornithodoros turicata
Lineage: Eukaryota; Metazoa; Arthropoda; Arachnida; Ixodida; Argasidae
Exons: 3
Source: RefSeq, a predicted model, not a curated record
UAACGCAUUAUAAUAAUUUUAAUAAGCGUCAAGUUAACCAAAGCUAGAAGACCUUAUGUAGACAGGAUGGAGGACGUCUUCUAAACAAAACAAAACAAAACAAAAUCUUGCCAACACCUUUUUGAGACGUUUACAAGUCGUUUUGUGCUACUACUACUACUAGGGAACGCACUGAUAGCUUUGACGCUCUACAACACUUGUCAGGUAAAUUUAUUGCAGAGUCCUAUGAAACCAAACUUCAGUGAGAGAAUGUGUUGACCGGAAGCAUGACCACGUUUGAAUUCCAUUAAAAUCUUUAACUUCGGCGAACCGAUUCAGUCGAAAGGCUGGAAGGUGGACCGUUCGAAUCGUACCACCGGCUGUACUGCCUGAGAUUUUCGUUGAGUUCUCCGAAGACUUCCCAGACGAAUGUUUGCACAGUUCCCCUUGAAGUCGGCCCAGGACGCAUACUAAACCCCAUGUCCCCCACUCCUUCCUGCUGUCCUCUCUACAUCUGUCCACAUCUAUAGGCUGCUCCAACAGCUGCUUCGCGGCGCUAACGGGGGAAUUUAAAAAAAAAGUUGAAUGCCUUUGCGGUAAGUUUGUUUCGGUACAAGUUCGCAGCGAGUUUUAAAUUUGGUGAUGUUUCACCGUCAGUGAUGAGUCAAUUCGAUGCAAAAUGACUCGGAGAAAACUUUUAGUUAUGUUUCACCAGUUUGCCUGCACUUUGAAUCUUACCCAUUCCAUAAACAUCUCCUCAAAGUGAGUAGGCGACCGCCGAAUAUGGUGCCCCACUCCGCAAGAAGACGACAGCUUCACAGAUUACACCAUAGAUGGCGACUGCGCAGCCACUGCGCUGUAGCACAGUGCACAUGGUGAACGAGCAAACACCCAAAGAAUCGUCGGUAUAGCCUGGUGAAUUGGUGAGCGGAUGUUUUCACCCUUCGGUUCAUUCGAGUGCCUCGUAGGACGAAUCAUUCACGAACGACAUAUUUCUCAUUGACUGGAACGAAUGGAACAGAGAGUUUCGUUUUUGCAGUCUGCUGCCUGGGCCGGGCUACCACAACACGGCGUGAGCAGCGUGAGCGUCACUCACUUGGGCCGUCAGCUGCAGUUUAUAACGCUGUGCCAUCGCGGU